RNAcentral lists this ribosomal RNA (487 nucleotides) under uncultured bacterium. RNAcentral's name for it is "partial 16S ribosomal RNA". It matches the Rfam family "Bacterial small subunit ribosomal RNA", at positions 28 to 507 of the family's 1533-position model. The record is from RNAcentral.
GAUGAACGCUAGCGAUAGGCUUAACACAUGCAAGUCGAGGGGCAGCACAAGGUAGCUUGCUAUCUGGGUGGCGACCGGCGCACGGGUGCGUAACGCGUAUGCAACUUGCCCUAUACAGGAGGAUAACCCGUCGAAAGACGGACUAAUACUGCGUAUGCUCACAACUUGGCAUCAAGUGGUGAGGAAAGAAAUUCGGUAUAGGAUAGGCAUGCGUCCCAUUAGCUUGUUGGUGAGGUAACGGCUCACCAAGGCAACGAUGGGCAGGGGAACUGAGAGGUUUAUCCCCCACACUGGGACUGAGACACGGACCAGACUCCUACGGGAGGCAGCAGUGAGGAAGAGUGGGCAAGGGGCGCGAGCCUGAACCAGCCAAGUCGCGUGAAGGAUGACUGUCUUAUGGAUGGUAAACUUCUUUUAGACGGGAAUAACAAGAGUCACGGGUGACUCCCUGCAGGUACCGUAUGAAUAAGCAGCGGCUAACUCCGUG